GUUGUCCUACGACAUUGAACAAUGUUGCUCGGUUCCCGGAUCCCUUGAAAGGAGUUUUACCAAACAAGAGUUCAUAGAGGAAGAUUCCAAAAGUCCACCAAUCAACAGCACUUCCAUGGCCUUCACCUUUGAUGAUCUCUGGAGCCAAGUACUCGUGUGUCCCAACAAAUGACAUUGAACGUGCAUCAGUUGGCUCUGCUAUUAGCUCAGGUAAAGGACUCACUUGGUUACCGACUUCGUUUUUCAGCUUGCGGUCUUUCCUGGACUUGCUAGAAAAGAGACGGGGAGAAAAGCAUGUUGUUGGGACAACACAAGCUGGUUGAAU
Molecule: long non-coding RNA, 325 nt
Filed under: Gossypium barbadense (sea-island cotton)
Lineage: Eukaryota; Viridiplantae; Streptophyta; Magnoliopsida; Malvales; Malvaceae
Description: long non-coding RNA (GBAR_LNC017474)
Source: RNAcentral